UACGAAGGGGGCUAGCGUUGUUCGGAAUUACUGGGCGUAAAGCGUGCGCAGGCGGUUCGUUGUGUCGGUGGUGAAAUCCCCGGGCUUAACCUGGGAAUGGCAUUUGGGACUGCAAGGCUUGAGUGCGGCAGAGGAGACUGGAAUUCCUGGUGUAGCAGUGAAAUGCGUAGAUAUCAGGAGGAAUACCGAUGGCGAAGGCAGGUCUCUGGGCUGACACUGACGCUCAUGCACGAAAGCGUGGGGAGCAAACAGG
Molecule: ribosomal RNA, 253 nt
Filed under: uncultured bacterium
Lineage: Bacteria
Description: partial 16S ribosomal RNA
Rfam family: Bacterial small subunit ribosomal RNA
Source: RNAcentral